Molecule: ribosomal RNA, 387 nt
Filed under: uncultured Helicobacter sp.
Lineage: Bacteria; Pseudomonadati; Campylobacterota; Epsilonproteobacteria; Campylobacterales; Helicobacteraceae
Description: bacterial SSU rRNA
Rfam family: Bacterial small subunit ribosomal RNA
Source: RNAcentral
CUAGCUUGCUAGGUGGAUUAGUGGCGCACGGGUGAGUAACGCAUAGAUAACAUGCCCUUUAGUUUGGGAUAGCCACUAGAAAUGGUGAUUAAUACCAAAUACUACCCUACGGGGGAAAGAUUUAUCGCUAAAGGAUUGGUCUAUGUCCUAUCAGCUUGUUGGUGAGGUAAAGGCUCACCAAGGCGAUGACGGGUAUCCGGCCUGAGAGGGUGAACGGACACACUGGAACUGAGACACGGUCCAGACUCCUACGGGAGGCAGCAGUAGGGAAUAUUGCUCAAUGGGCGCAAGCCUGAAGCAGCAACGCCGCGUGGAGGAUGAAGGUUUUAGGAUUGUAAACUCCUUUUGUCAGAGAAGAUAAUGACGGUAUCUCACGAAUAAGCACAA